Molecule: transfer RNA, 78 nt
Filed under: Ignisphaera aggregans
Lineage: Archaea; Thermoproteati; Thermoproteota; Thermoprotei; Desulfurococcales; Desulfurococcaceae
Also listed under: 2 other names
Description: tRNA-Glu
Rfam family: tRNA
About the family: Transfer RNA (tRNA) molecules are approximately 80 nucleotides in length.
Source: RNAcentral
GCCGCGGUAGUAUAGCCCGGACAAGUAUGCGGGCCUUUCGAGCCCGUGACCCGGGUUCAAAUCCCGGCCGCGGCACCA